GAUGAACGCUGGCGGCGUGCUUAACACAUGCAAGUCGAACGAUGAAGCCCAGCUUGCUGGGUGGAUUAGUGGCGAACGGGUGAGUAACACGUGAGUAACCUGCCCUUGACUCUGGGAUAAGCCUGGGAAACUGGGUCUAAUACUGGAUAUGACUUCUCAUCGCAUGGUGGGGGGUGGAAAGAUUUAUUGGUCUUGGAUGGACUCGCGGCCUAUCAGCUUGUUGGUGAGGUAGUGGCUCACCAAGGCGACGACGGGUAGCCGGCCUGAGAGGGUGACCGGCCACACUGGGACUGAGGCACGGCCCAGACUCCUACGGGAGGCAGCAGUGGGGAAUAUUGCACAAUGGGCGCAAGCCUGAUGCAGCGACGCCGCGUGAGGGAUGACGGCCUUCGGGUUGUAAACCUCUUUCAGUAGGGAAGAAGCGAGAGUGACGGUACCUGCAGAAGAAGCGCCGGCUAACUACGUG
This 466-nucleotide ribosomal RNA is filed under the name uncultured bacterium. RNAcentral describes it as "partial 16S ribosomal RNA". It matches the Rfam family "Bacterial small subunit ribosomal RNA", at positions 28 to 507 of the family's 1533-position model. The record is from RNAcentral.